GACGAACGCUGGCGGCGUGCUUAACACAUGCAAGUCGAACGGAAAGGCCCUGCUUUUGUGGGGUGCUCGAGUGGCGAACGGGUGAGUAACACGUGAGUAACCUGCCCUUGACUUUGGGAUAACUUCAGGAAACUGGGGCUAAUACCGGAUAGGAGCUCCUGCUGCAUGGUGGGGGUUGGAAAGUUUCGGCGGUUGGGGAUGGACUCGCGGCUUAUCAGCUUGUUGGUGGGGUAGUGGCUUACCAAGGCUUUGACGGGUAGCCGGCCUGAGAGGGUGACCGGCCACAUUGGGACUGAGAUACGGACCAGACUCCUACGGGAGGCAGAAGUGGGGAAUAUUGCACAAUGGGCGGAAGCCUGAUGCAGCAACGCCGCGUGCGGGAUGACGGCCUUCGGGUUGUAAACCGCUUUCGCCUGUGACGAAGCGUGAGUGACGGUAAUGAGUAAAGAAGCACCGGCUAACUACGUG
RNAcentral lists this ribosomal RNA (468 nucleotides) under uncultured bacterium. RNAcentral describes it as "partial 16S ribosomal RNA". It matches the Rfam family "Bacterial small subunit ribosomal RNA", at positions 28 to 507 of the family's 1533-position model. The record is from RNAcentral.